GAGCCCAGAACACGCACCCAGGCUGCAGGAAGUCAUUUAUCCUUACAAGAUUUUCAGCGUCUAAACCCAAGAUGUCUAGGAACAUGCGGGAUAGAUGACCGCGGCUUCAGCGCACGCCACUGCGUAGCAGCAACCCAUCCCCUAGCAACUUUUGUUUCCAUGGCAAAAGCUGUCCUGUUUACGUUGAGCUUUACUAUCCCCCACUGAUCCACAGAGAUGUAACCGGACUGGCGAGCAGGCAGGAGGUGGUUAUGUACAUUCAGAUGGCCUUGGGAAAAACAGAUGGUCAGGAAAUUACCUCUGAUUAGUAGUUGAUUUAACUCCAUGGAAAUAAAAAAAUAUCUGGAGAACUGGAGUAGAAGGGU
This is a long non-coding RNA of Anser brachyrhynchus (Pink-footed goose), 365 nucleotides long. Lineage: Eukaryota; Metazoa; Chordata; Aves; Anseriformes; Anatidae. The record is from Ensembl.